Molecule: long non-coding RNA, 468 nt
Filed under: Fukomys damarensis (Damara mole-rat)
Lineage: Eukaryota; Metazoa; Chordata; Mammalia; Rodentia; Bathyergidae
Description: lncRNA (ENSFDAG00000026653.1)
Source: RNAcentral
CAGACAAACCCACAUAGGACGCACUGUGGUGGCCGGGAAUGCAGGGCUGGGCUCCACUUGGAGGCCCUCAGCCUCCCACCAGGAGGCCUCCAUGGCAUCUGUCUGCGCAGAGGUCCAGUCUCUUUGGUCAUAAGCGGGAGAAGCCGCAAGCCUUGCUGGGCUGCUCGGGCUCUGUGAGCACUGACACUCACCGUGCCAACCUCCAGCACACAGGACACGCAGGGCUGCCCUCGGCACGGCAGUCACGCCAAGGCCCAUGAGGUGAAGAACUGGAGGCAGGAACUGCGGAAAAUGUACAAAAUCAAAAGGUUCAAACCAAACAACCUUAUGCUGGGUGGGGAGACCAGUGAGCACCACGACACUACUCAAGCCAGGCGAGCCAUCAGAGGAGCAGAGCCGCGAAUCCUGCACCUGCCUGCUUACGACCUGACAGGAAGGACAGGACCACAGGGCAGCGGUGAGGAGUGA